ACCCUCUCAAGAUCCCACCUGGAGAGUUUCCAGUACUCUACCAGUCUCGGCUGUGGGAGGGAGAGUCAAGCAGAGGCCUUCCCAUUCCAUUCCUAGCUUGGGCAAUGGCUAGCAACUGGAAGGCAACCUGCUACAAAG
Molecule: small nucleolar RNA, 138 nt
Filed under: Ornithorhynchus anatinus (platypus)
Lineage: Eukaryota; Metazoa; Chordata; Mammalia; Monotremata; Ornithorhynchidae
Source: RNAcentral